GAUGAACGCUGGCGGCGUGCCUAAUACAUGCAAGUCGAGCGAACGGACGAGACGCUUGCUUCUCUUAUGUUAGCGGCGGACGGGUGAGUAACACGUGGAUAACCUACCUAUAAGACUGGGAUAACUUCGGGAAACCGGAGCUAAUACCGGAUAAUAUUUUGAACCGCAUGGUUCAACAGUCCAAGCCGUUCUUGCUGUCACUUAUAGAUGGAUCCGCGCUGCAUUAGCUAGUUGGUAAGGUAACGGCUUACCAAGGCAGCGAUGCAUAGCCGACCUGAGAGGGUGAUCGGCCACACUGGAACUGAGACACGGUCCAGACUCCUACGGGAGGCAGCAGUAGGGAAUCUUCCGCAAUGGGCGAAAGCCUGACGGAGCCACGCCGCGUGAGUGAUGAAGGUCUUCGGAUCGUAAAACUCUGUUAUUAGGGAAGAAGAUAUGUGUAAGUAACUGUGCACAUCUUGACGGUACCUACUCAGAAAGCCACGGCUAACUACGUG
This 497-nucleotide ribosomal RNA is filed under the name uncultured bacterium. Its description in RNAcentral is "partial 16S ribosomal RNA". It matches the Rfam family "Bacterial small subunit ribosomal RNA", at positions 28 to 507 of the family's 1533-position model. The record is from RNAcentral.